GGAGUUAGCCGGUGCUUCUUCUGUGAGUGAUGUCCUUCCUGCCGGUUAUUGACCCGCAGGCCUUCUUCCUCACUGAAAGUGCUUUACAACCCGAAGGCCUUCUUCACACACGCGGCAUGGCUGGAUCAGGGUUGCCCCCAUUGUCCAAUAUUCCCCACUGCUGCCUCCCGUAGGAGUCUGGGCCGUGUCUCAGUCCCAGUGUGGCUGAUCAUCCUCUCAGACCAGCUACGGAUCGUCGCCUUGGUGAGCCGUUACCUCACCAACCAGCUAAUCCGACAUAGGCUCAUCCGAUAGCGCGAGGCCCGAAGGUCCCCCGCUUUCCCCCGUAGGGCCGUAUGCGGUAUUAGCCUGGGGUUUCCCCAGGGUUAUCCCCCACUACCGGGCAGAUUCCUAUGCAUUACUCACCCGUCCGCCGCUCGCCACCAGGGAGCAAGCUCCCCGUGCUGCCGCUCGACUUGCAUGUGUUAGGCCUGCCGCCAGCGUUCAAUCUGAGCCAGANANACAACUCACACGUAGACGGCGGUCGUCGACGACGGCGCUAG
RNAcentral lists this ribosomal RNA (542 nucleotides) under uncultured bacterium. RNAcentral's name for it is "partial 16S ribosomal RNA". The record is from RNAcentral.